GACGAACGCUGGCGGCGUGCCUAAUACAUGCAAGUAGAACGCUGAAGGAGGAGCUUGCUUCUCUGGAUGAGUUGCGAACGGGUGAGUAACGCGUAGGUAACCUGCCUGGUAGCGGGGGAUAACUAUUGGAAACGAUAGCUAAUACCGCAUAAUAGUAGAUGUUGCAUGACAUUUGCUUAAAAGGUGCAAUUGCAUCACUACCAGAUGGACCUGCGUUGUAUUAGCUAGUUGGUGGGGUAACGGCUCACCAAGGCGACGAUACAUAGCCGACCUGAGAGGGGGAUCGGCCACACUGGGACGGGGACACGGCCCAGACUCCUACGGGAGGCAGCAGUAGGGAAUCUUCGGCAAUGGACGGAAGUCUGACCGAGCAACGCCGCGUGAGUGAAGAAGGUUUUCGGAUCGUAAAGCUCUGUUGUAAGGGAAGAACGAGUGUGAGAGUGGAAAGUUCACACUGUGACGGUAUCUUACCAGAAAGGAACGGCUAACUACGUG
RNAcentral lists this ribosomal RNA (495 nucleotides) under uncultured bacterium. RNAcentral's name for it is "partial 16S ribosomal RNA". It matches the Rfam family "Bacterial small subunit ribosomal RNA", at positions 28 to 507 of the family's 1533-position model. The record is from RNAcentral.